RNAcentral lists this ribosomal RNA (1389 nucleotides) under Bacillus sp. UNC125MFCrub1.1. RNAcentral describes it as "bacterial LSU rRNA". It matches the Rfam family "Bacterial large subunit ribosomal RNA", at positions 1539 to 2925 of the family's 2925-position model. The record is from RNAcentral. Lineage: Bacteria; Bacillati; Bacillota; Bacilli; Caryophanales; Bacillaceae.
AAUCCGUUUCCCGUGAAGGCUGAGCUGUGAUGGCGAGCGAAAUUUAGUAGCGAAGUUCCUGAUUCCACACUGCCAAGAAAAGCCUCUAGCGAGGUGAGAGGUGCCCGUACCGCAAACCGACACAGGUAGGCGAGGAGAGAAUCCUAAGGUGAUCGAGAGAACUCUCGUUAAGGAACUCGGCAAAAUGACCCCGUAACUUCGGGAGAAGGGGUGCUUCUUAGGGUGUUAAAGCCCCGAGAAGCCGCAGUGAAUAGGCCCAGGCGACUGUUUAGCAAAAACACAGGUCUCUGCGAAGCCGUAAGGCGAAGUAUAGGGGCUGACGCCUGCCCGGUGCUGGAAGGUUAAGAGGAGCGCUUAGCGUAAGCGAAGGUGCGAAUUGAAGCCCCAGUAAACGGCGGCCGUAACUAUAACGGUCCUAAGGUAGCGAAAUUCCUUGUCGGGUAAGUUCCGACCCGCACGAAAGGCGCAACGAUCUGGGCACUGUCUCAACGAGAGACUCGGUGAAAUUAUAGUACCUGUGAAGAUGCAGGUUACCCGCGACAGGACGGAAAGACCCCGUGGAGCUUUACUGCAGCCUGAUAUUGAAUGUUGGUACAGCUUGUACAGGAUAGGUAGGAGCCUUGGAAACCGGAGCGCUAGCUUCGGUGGAGGCAUCGGUGGGAUACUACCCUGGCUGUAUUGACCUUCUAACCCGCUGCCCUUAUCGGGCAGGGAGACAGUGUCAGGUGGGCAGUUUGACUGGGGCGGUCGCCUCCUAAAAUGUAACGGAGGCGCCCAAAGGUUCCCUCAGAAUGGUUGGAAAUCAUUCGCAGAGUGUAAAGGCACAAGGGAGCUUGACUGCGAGACCUACAAGUCGAGCAGGGACGAAAGUCGGGCUUAGUGAUCCGGUGGUUCCGCAUGGAAGGGCCAUCGCUCAACGGAUAAAAGCUACCCCGGGGAUAACAGGCUUAUCUCCCCCAAGAGUCCACAUCGACGGGGAGGUUUGGCACCUCGAUGUCGGCUCAUCGCAUCCUGGGGCUGUAGUCGGUCCCAAGGGUUGGGCUGUUCGCCCAUUAAAGCGGUACGCGAGCUGGGUUCAGAACGUCGUGAGACAGUUCGGUCCCUAUCCGUCGCGGGCGCAGGAAAUUUGAGAGGAGCUGUCCUUAGUACGAGAGGACCGGGAUGGACGCACCGCUGGUGUACCAGUUGUUCUGCCAAGGGCAUCGCUGGGUAGCUAUGUGCGGACGGGAUAAGUGCUGAAAGCAUCUAAGCAUGAAGCCCCCCUCAAGAUGAGAUUUCCCAUUCCGCAAGGAAGUAAGAUCCCUGAAAGAUGAUCAGGUUGAUAGGUCUGAGGUGGAAGCGUGGUGACACGUGGAGCUGACAGAUACUAAUAGAUCGAGGACUUAACCU